CGCCCAGAAAAGCUCGGGUGACUCGGGGGAAAAGCGAGAUUGUGAAAGCGCUGAGCGCGACCGGGUGGCGCGCGGAGUCCUCGCGACGGCGACGAAGCGGACGGCGGCACGCGUGGCAUCGCUGGUCACUCGAACCUGUUUCCAUCGCCCUUUUUCCGCUCCAUCUGCGGAGGAGAUUUAAUUUCAGAAAAUGUUUCAGCUGGGAAGCCGGCUGGUCCACUUUCAGUUUGCUUCUGGUACUGCUCAGUGCAGUGGCAAAAAUGGAAGUGUGGACCAGCCAUCGGAAGAACCAUCAUCCCAUUCAUCAGCUCAACCAUCAGCCCCACCAUCAGCUCCACCAUCAGCCCAAUCAUCUGUAAAACUCCCAUCAUGUCAACCUUCACUUGCAUCGUCAGUCCAAACUUCAGUCCAACCCUCCAGCAGUCCACCACCCCAAUCAUCUAUCCAACCAUCACUUAGUGUUAGCGACUUAAUUAUGAAACUCAGGACUAUUGGUGGACUGAAAAAAGACGACAUUUUUUGCAACUUGAGGAUUCCCAAUCAAUUUCAGACUGCAAAGGAGGAAGUCAGCCUGCUGAUUGUGACAGGUCGUGGAAUCUUCUGCAUUGAUGUCAAGGACUGGAGAGGUGAAGUGUCAGUGCAGAAGCAGAACUGGCAGCUGAAACUGAAACAAGAAGGCCAAAACAUCACAAAUAUCCGCCAGGUUCCCGACCCCAUACAAGCCAUCACGACCAAGGCCGACCAUCUGUGGAAUCAUGUCAAACGCAGCGGAGCGUCUGUACGGAGGUCCCUCUUCCUGCCCAGAGUGCUCUUCCUUUCCGCAAACUGCCAGCUGGACGGAGAGCUGAGGCAGAGGAGGGAGCUGGUAUCUCACGGCAGCUUGGACGCCUUCGUGUGCUCCCUCAAAGAAGGCUACGUGGCCUGGAUGUCAGAUGCUCUGACUCCUUCCUGGCUCUCUGGUCACCUCUCAUACAGACAGUUGAGGGGUGUGAGGGAGACGCUCCGGAGGACGGGCACCUGGGACUUGGUCCGGCUGUGCGGCGGCGAGCAGCUCAAGGGAGAUUACCAGGGCUGCCAGUACAUUGCGUUGGACCGCCAAGAGACGGAGGAGCUGGAGUUCUCCGGGGACCGGGCCCUGUGGAUGGGCUCGCUUUGGACGCUGCUGGGGCACUCUCCGCAGGUGACGGUUAAGAUGUACAAAAGAGGCGGCGGAGGCUGGCUGUGCCGGACCUUGAGCGGCUCAGCCACUAUUCCCAGCAGUGCCCAAGUGGUCUUCCGGAUCAGCGGUGACGGUGCCGAUGCCCGCAUCCCUGCCAGCUGUAUCCACAGCAUCUCCCUCAGCAUCUGAACUAGACCACUCUAUCUGCCUUGACAAUACCCCAAGGAGAUGGUAGUUGGACACUUCUAGCUGCACCUGGUAACUGUGUCCUAUUCGGGCACUCGCUGGCAUCCAACAGAUGUAUUAGAGCCCGGAUCUGUUGUUCCCUCGAACAGGUCUCCAAAUCACACGCCACCAAGGUUCAUUUUCUUUGUUACUAAAUAUUUUCACGUUCACACUAAUGAAGCGUUGGUCUUGCGGUAUUUUUGAUGCGAUGCUGAUGGAUGUCUUUUCCUCAUCGUCAGCCUCGGCCCACAGGGAAUCUACACUUUGCCUCCCGUAAAACAUCUUCCUCUACAGUCGUACAUAUCACAGGUCCUUUUGCGAUCGGCAUUUACGAUUACGAUGAGCAAUAAAUCCAGGCUGACGUUUAUAGCGUCA
RNAcentral lists this long non-coding RNA (1759 nucleotides) under Scleropages formosus (Asian bonytongue). Its description in RNAcentral is "lncRNA (ENSSFOG00015026096.1)". The record is from RNAcentral. Lineage: Eukaryota; Metazoa; Chordata; Actinopteri; Osteoglossiformes; Osteoglossidae.